This 982-nucleotide ribosomal RNA is filed under the name Lactobacillus sp. RNAcentral's name for it is "bacterial SSU rRNA". It matches the Rfam family "Bacterial small subunit ribosomal RNA", at positions 35 to 992 of the family's 1533-position model. Lineage: Bacteria; Bacillati; Bacillota; Bacilli; Lactobacillales; Lactobacillaceae. The record is from RNAcentral.
GCUGCGGCUGCUAUACUGCAGUCGAACGAAACUUUCUUACACCGAAUGCUUGCAUUCAUCGUAAGAAGUUGAGUGGCGGACGGGUGAGUAACACGUGGGUAACCUGCCUAAAAGAAGGGGAUAACACUUGGAAACAGGUGCUAAUACCGUAUAUCUCUAAGGAUCGCAUGAUCCUUAGAUGAAAGAUGGUUCUGCUAUCGCUUUUAGAUGGACCCGCGGCGUAUUAACUAGUUGGUGGGGUAACGGCCUACCAAGGUGAUGAUACGUAGCCGAACUGAGAGGUUGAUCGGCCACAUUGGGACUGAGACACGGCCCAAACUCCUACGGGAGGCAGCAGUAGGGAAUCUUCCACAAUGGACGCAAGUCUGAUGGAGCAACGCCGCGUGAGUGAAGAAGGUCUUCGGAUCGUAAAACUCUGUUGUUAGAGAAGAACACGAGUGAGAGUAACUGUUCAUUCGAUGACGGUAUCUAACCAGCAAGUCACGGCUAACUACGUGCCAGCAGCCGCGGUAAUACGUAGGUGGCAAGCGUUGUCCGGAUUUAUUGGGCGUAAAGGGAACGCAGGCGGUCUUUUAAGUCUGAUGUGAAAGCCUUCGGCUUAACCGGAGUAGUGCAUUGGAAACUGGAAGACUUGAGUGCAGAAGAGGAGAGUGGAACUCCAUGUGUAGCGGUGAAAUGCGUAGAUAUAUGGAAGAACACCAGUGGCGAAAGCGGCUCUCUGGUCUGUAACUGACGCUGAGGUUCGAAAGCGUGGGUAGCAAACAGGAUUAGAUACCCUGGUAGUCCACGCCGUAAACGAUGAAUGCUAGGUGUUGGAGGGUUUCCGCCCUUCAGUGCCGCAGCUAACGCAAUAAGCAUUCCGCCUGGGGAGUACGACCGCAAGGUUGAAACUCAAAGGAAUUGACGGGGGCCCGCACAAGCGGUGGAGCAUGUGGUUAAUUCGAAGCAACGCGAAGAACCUUACCAGGUCUUGACUCCUUUG